RNAcentral lists this ribosomal RNA (442 nucleotides) under uncultured Porphyromonadaceae bacterium. Its description in RNAcentral is "bacterial SSU rRNA". It matches the Rfam family "Bacterial small subunit ribosomal RNA", at positions 355 to 794 of the family's 1533-position model. The record is from RNAcentral. Lineage: Bacteria; Pseudomonadati; Bacteroidota; Bacteroidia; Bacteroidales; Porphyromonadaceae.
UGAGGAAUAUUGGGUCAAUGGGCGAGAGCCUGAACCAGCCAAGUAGCGUGAGGGACGACUGCCCUAUGGGUUGUAAACCUCUUUUGAUUGGGAACAAAGAGCGCCACGUGUGGUGCGUUGCGUGUACCUUUCGAAUAAGCAUCGGCUAAUUCCGUGCCAGCAGCCGCGGUAAUACGGAAGAUGCGAGCGUUAUCCGGAUUUAUUGGGUUUAAAGGGUGCGCAGGCGGCGCGCCAAGUCAGCGGUCAAAGUUCCGGGCUCAACCCGGUGUCGCCGUUGAAACUGGCGUGCUCGAGUGCGUGCGAGGAAGGCGGAAUGCGUUGUGUAGCGGUGAAAUGCAUAGAUAUGACGCAGAACUCCGAUUGCGAAGGCAGCUUUCCAGCGCGCUACUGACGCUGAGGCACGAAAGCGUGGGGAUCGAACAGGAUUAGAUACCCUGGUAGU